GGGCGUCGGAAAGCGGCCUUCUGGGACUCCGCAAACUCCCGUUCUCCCUCCCCCCUCCCCCUUGCCAUUCCCUUUGCCUUCCGGGCGCCAAGUCUCUCUGGCCUCCAAGGUGAACCCAACUCCCCAGCGCGCCCCGGGUUCCCGGGUCGGGCCGGCUUCAGGCGGUGGGGAGCGGGAUCCCGGGCCCCGGGCGGGCGGGAGGGACGGGACGCGGUGCAGUGUUGUUUUUUCCCCCGCCAAUAUUGCACUCGUCCCGGCCUCCGGCCCCCCCGGCCCCCCGGCCUCCCCGCUACCCCUAGCGGGGCAGCCCCCGCCCUCCUGGCUCUCCAUCCCGGCGGAUCUUUGAUAGACUGGAGUGUCGCCGCUGCCACCGUGAACGGGAAAAUGGGUCAUGGAGGAGUGACUUCACCAACAUCACUCAUAGGUGCUUGUGUCCGUGGUGAGAAGGGUGAUGGAGAGAAGUGGCUGCAGUUCCCACCCAUGGAGAGGUCACUGGUGAAUCCCAGCUAAAGAGGAAGGACAGGCCCGGCCUGAGUCCCACAGGCUUACCAUCUGAGUCCUUCUGAUUGGGAUUGGGUACCAGGCGGCAGUUAUCGGGACCAGGAGGCACAUAAUCUGGGAUGCCAUCAUUGUCAUCAUCCCCAUCACACUCAUCUCCAAGUCCAUCGUUAUCAGAGUCCAGCUGGGAGCUAUUUGGCAGCUGUGGGCAGUUGUCCUUGGUGUCCUGAUGCCCAUCCCCAUCGCUAAUCAGAAGAACAGGUUGGUGAAAGUCCCGAACUUUGUCUCCCCACCCAGAGGACAACUGGCCAGGAAAUCUGCCUGUUUCUUGUCUCACCCUCUAGUCCACACUCUGCCUAACACUACGCCCUACCUCACAUUCCUAUUGACAUCUGCUGCAGAUCACACCCUUGUGAUGGACAAACUGCUCAGUACAGUCCCACCCACCCAGCCUCCUUGUCCUGGGCACGAGGUUUUUGCCUCCCUGAUUUGGAGUAUUUGGCCCUUACUAGAGAGCUGCCAGAUGAGAACUCAGAGGCUCCUCCCGGCUCACCUGCAUCCUCAAAUACGCCUUCUGUCCAGUCCUAAUCUCCAGCCCAUCGACCUCCGCUGGAGGAAUGGGGGCCAGUGCUGGAAGGCCUGCAUGUUGGUCACCCAGUUUGCAGUCCACGUAGAGAUGUAGGGCAGGGCUGGGUCUGGAGGGACCUCGGAGUCGCAGGAGAACUGUGUGUGUGCGCCCAUCAGCCAGGCCCGCUUGCUGUAGGUUCACGGCGUGGACUUUGCCAUCCUCCCGCUGGUAUCGCACCAGUACUGCCCAGGAGGGGAGAUCAGUAUGGGCGCUAUCCCCCACCCCCUGCCUCCCAGCUGAGCCUUGGAUCAACUCUGCUAGAUACCACAUCUCUAGGGCCCCUAUCCCUAAUUCUACUAUGUGGCUCUCAACACCUUGUAUUUAAUAGGUACACAAUAAAUGUUUUUGAAAUUGC
RNAcentral lists this long non-coding RNA (1481 nucleotides) under Homo sapiens (human). RNAcentral describes it as "THBS3 antisense RNA 1 (THBS3-AS1)". Lineage: Eukaryota; Metazoa; Chordata; Mammalia; Primates; Hominidae. The record is from RNAcentral.